RNAcentral lists this ribosomal RNA (293 nucleotides) under uncultured bacterium. Its description in RNAcentral is "partial 16S ribosomal RNA". The record is from RNAcentral.
GGACUACCAGGGUAUCUAAUCCGGAUCGCUCCCCACGCUUUCGCUCCUCAGCGUCAGAACAGGUCCAGGAAGCCGCCUUCGCCACUGGUGUUCCUCCCGAUAUCUACGCAUUCCACCACUACACCGGGAAUUCCGCUUCCCCCUACCUGCCUCGAGCCCGCCAGUAUCGGAUGACCGCUCCCAGUUGAGCCGGGAGAUUUCACAUCCGACUUGGCGUGGCCGCCUACAAGCGCUUUACGCCCAAUAAAUCCGGACAACGCUCGCCCCCUACGUAUUACCGCGGCUGCUGGCAC